This 253-nucleotide ribosomal RNA is filed under the name uncultured bacterium. RNAcentral's name for it is "partial 16S ribosomal RNA". It matches the Rfam family "Bacterial small subunit ribosomal RNA", at positions 524 to 776 of the family's 1533-position model. The record is from RNAcentral.
UACGAAGGGGGCUAGCGUUGUCCGGAAUUAUUGGGCGUAAAGGGCGCGUAGGCGGUGCGGUAAGUCACCUGUGAAAUCUCCUGGCUCAACUGGGAGCUUGCAGGCGAAACUGCCGUGCUGGAGUGUGGGAGAGGUGAGUGGAAUUCCCGGUGUAGCAGUGAAAUGCGUAGAGAUCGGGAGGAACAUCAGUUGCGAAGGCGGCUCUCUGGACCAGCACUGACACUGAGGCACGAAAGCGUGGGGAGCAAACAGG